GUCGAACGAGAAAUCUUUAGCUUGCUAGAGAAAGUAAAGUGGCGCACGGGUGAGUAACGCGUGGGUAAUCUGCCUCCGAAUCGGGGAUAACAUUGCGAAAGCGAUGCUAAUACCGGAUAAAAUCUGGUUGGCUUAGGUGAACCGGAUCAAAGGUGGUCUCUUUAUAAAAGCUACCGUUUGGAGAUGAGCUCGCGUACCAUUAGCUAGUUGGUGAGGUAAAGGCUCACCAAGGCGACGAUGGUUAGCUGGUCUGAGAGGAUGAUCAGCCACACCGGAACUGGAACACGGUCCGGACUCCUACGGGAGGCAGCAGUGAGGAAUUUUGCGCAAUGGGGGAAACCCUGACGCAGCAACGCCGAGUGAGUGAUGAAGGCUUUCGGGUCGUAAAGCUCUGUAAGGUGGGAAGAACCCACCAAGUGUUCAGACCACUUGGUGCUGACGGUACCACCGAAGGAAGCACCGGCUAACUCCGUGCCAGCAGACGCGGUAAUACGGGGAGUGCGAGCGUUAUUCGGAAUCAUUGGACGUAAAGGGCGCAUAAGCGGAAAAGUAAGUCAGGUGUGAAAUCCCGGGGCUUAACCCCGGAAGUGCAUAUGAAACUAUGAGACUUGAGUAUGGGAGAGGGAAAGCGGAAUUCCUGGUGUACCGGUGAAAUGCGUAGAUAUCAGGAGGAACACCGGUGGCGAAGGCGGCUUCCUGAACCAAUACUGACGCUGAGGCGCGAAGGCGUGGGGAGCGAACAGGAUUAGAUACCCUGGUAGUCCACGCAGUAAACGUUGAUCACUAGGUGUAGCGGGUAUUGACCCCUGCUGUGCCGGAGUUAACGCAUUAAGUGAUCCGCCUGGGGAGUACGAUCGCAAGAUUAGAACUCAAAGGAAUUGACGGGGGCCCGCACAAGCGGUGGAGCAUGUGGUUUAAUUCGACGCAACGCGAAGAACCUUACCUGGACUUGACAUCUCGGGAAUUCCGUUGAAAGACGGGAGUGCCUUUAACGAGGAAUCCGAUGACAGGUGCUGCAUGGCUGUCGUCAGCUCGUGUCGUGAGAUGUUGGGUUAAGUCCCGCAACGAGCGCAACCCCUAUCUUCAGUUACCAUCAGGUGAUGCUGGGGACUUUGGAGAUACUGCCCCGGUUAACGGGGAGGAAGGUGGGGAUGACGUCAAGUCCUCAUGGCCUUUAUGUCCAGGGCUACACACGUGCUACAAUGGUAUGUACAAAGGGAAGCGAUCCCGCGAGGAGGAGCUAAUCCCAAAAAGCAUAUCAAAGUUCGGAUCGGAGUCUGCAACUCGACUCCGUGAAGUUGGAAUCGCUAGUAAUCGCGGAUCAGCAUGCCGCGGUGAUACGUUCCCGGGCCUUGUACACACCGCCCGUCACACCAUGAGAGUUGGCUGUACCAGAAGUCGUUGGGCUAACCCGCAA
Molecule: ribosomal RNA, 1417 nt
Filed under: uncultured organism
Description: bacterial SSU rRNA
Rfam family: Bacterial small subunit ribosomal RNA
Source: RNAcentral